Molecule: non-coding RNA, 607 nt
Organism: Vigna umbellata (rice bean)
Lineage: Eukaryota; Viridiplantae; Streptophyta; Magnoliopsida; Fabales; Fabaceae
Source: RefSeq, a predicted model, not a curated record
UAAAACUAUUUUCAGGGAUUAAAAGCAAAAAUCUACUAUAUUUGUGAGGAUGAAAAAUGCAUUUAAAUUUUUAUUUAUUUUACUUUAAACACCUAAAUUCAACGUUUAUUAGAUUAAAAGAUUAAAUGCCAUCAAAUCGAUAUGUAGCUAACGAGUAUGCUUAAUUGUGCUAAAAUUUCCUUCCUUUUGAAUUAUCUUUCAUGAAAAUUGUAGAAGAAUGGAAUUAAAUCAUUAUUCAGUGCAGGUAAUACUAAAUGUCUGUUUUGUCUGAUCAAUAACCUCCAGGUACCGCCUCACAUUGUAGCUGGUGAGGCCAUAGUUGUUAACACGGAGGAUGACUCCUACAUAGAAAGGGCCAAAUCAUAGUGUGACUUCAGCCAGGAUUUGAAUAGAUAUCCAAGACUUCUGAAGCAGAAUGGCCCUUUUAUUCAGCCUCCUAGCCCUACCCUCCUCUCUUUCACUUCAUAAUAGCAUUUUUUUUGUUUUCUUUAUCUCCCAGCAAAUGAAUUUGGAUGUUUGUGUUUGCAGGACUGUUGCUUUAGUUUGUGCAUAACGAAAGCAAGGCAACAUAAUCUUGAUUGUUGAAAGUUUAGAUGAUAAAAACUCA